AUUGAACGCUGGCGGAAUGCUUUACACAUGCAAGUCGAACGAUGAACCUUAGCUUGCUAAGGGGAUUAGUGGCGAACGGGUGAGUAAUGUAUCGGAACGUAUCCAAUAAUGGGGGAUAACUAGUCGAAAGAUUAGCUAAUACCGCAUACGUCCUACGGGAGAAAGCUAGGGACCUUAGGGCCUGGCGUUAAUGGAGCGGCCGAUAUCUGAUUAGCUAGUUGGUGGGGUACAGGCUCACCAAGGCGCCGAUCAGUAGCUGGUCUGAGAGGACGACCAGCCACACUGGAACUGAGACACGGGCCAGACUCCUACGGGAGGCAGCAGGGGGGAAGUUUGGACAAUGGGCGAAAGCCUGAUCCAGCCAUUCCGCGUGAGUGAAGAAGGCCUUCGGGUUGUAAAGCUCUUUCGCAAGGGAAGAAAACUUAAGCUCUAACAUAGCUUGAGGUUGACGGUACCUUGAUAAGAAGCACCGGCUAACUACGUGCCAGCCGCCGCAGUAA
Molecule: ribosomal RNA, 500 nt
Filed under: uncultured bacterium
Lineage: Bacteria
Description: partial 16S ribosomal RNA
Rfam family: Bacterial small subunit ribosomal RNA
Source: RNAcentral